This is an RNA transcript of Panicum virgatum (switchgrass), 4616 nucleotides long. It is a transcript of the gene named putative aldehyde oxidase-like protein, with no coding region annotated. The record is from RefSeq and is a predicted model, not a curated record. Lineage: Eukaryota; Viridiplantae; Streptophyta; Magnoliopsida; Poales; Poaceae. The transcript has 10 exons.
CCAAAGACGCCCGCCGCUGCUCUCGCCUCUGCAAACAGACAUUCUUAGCACAGCUUAGGCAUGUGCUAGCUAGCUAGCUUUUCUGCUGGACCAGCUAGCAGAUCGAGGUGUGAAAUUAAAGGUGAUCAUCAGGUUAUCAGCAGCACAGGGUGCGUGCGGUGGGGGUGAAGCGCAGCAGGGUGGCGGUGAUCGUGGUCGAUCCCUCUCCAUGGCGGCGGCGACGGCAGCGGUGGUUGAGAGGCUGGUGUUCGCGUUGAACGGGCGGCGGUACGAGGUGGCCGCCGCCGACGUGGACCCGUCGACGAGGCUGGUGGAGUUCAUCCGGACGCGGACGCCGUUCAAGGGCACCAAGCUCGGCUGCGGCGAAGGUGGUUGUGGGGCUUGUGUUGUCCUUAUAGCAAAGUAUAACCCCAAGACGGAUGAAGUGACUGAAUUUAACGCAAGUUCAUGCCUGACACUUCUUUACAGUAUAAAUUUCUGUUCAGUUAUCACGACUGAGGGUCUGGGGAAUACUCAGGAUGGCUUUCAUGCUGUUCAGAAAAGGAUGUCUGGGUUUCAUGCCUCUCAGUGUGGCUUCUGCACUCCUGGAAUGUGCAUGUCUAUUUUCGCCUCCCUUAUCAAUGCUGACAAAUCCAAGAGGCCCGAACCACCAAAAGGGUUCUCAAAACUAAAAGUAUCAGAAGCAGAAAAAGCCUUCUCAGGGAACAUGUGUAGAUGCACUGGUUAUCGUCCAAUUGUUGAUGCCUGCAGAAGUUUUGCAUCAGAUGUUGACUUGGAGGAUUUGGGCCUUAAUAUAUUCUGGAAGAGAAGCGAUAAGAAUCCAGACGUUAGUGAAUUGCCAAGUUACACUCUUGGUGGUGGAGUCUGCACUUUCCCAGACUUCCUAAAAUCUGAGAUAAAAUCUUCUCUUAACCAUCUGAAUGAUGUUUAUAUUUCAGCAUCCAGGGAGGGUUGGUAUCAUCCGAGAAGUAUCAAAGAGUAUUAUGAGCUAAUAAAUUCUUGUUUAUAUAGUGACUCUGUCAAAGUGGUUGUUGGGCAUACUAGUAGUGGUGUACCCGGAUACAAGGAUCAAGACCUCUACAAUAAGUAUAUUGACAUAAGUGGCAUUCCCGAACUUUCAAAUAUUGUGAAAAAAGAGUCAGGCUUUGAAAUUGGAGCUGCUACAACAAUUUCUAGGACCAUUGAGAUACUUAAGCAAGAAUGUGAAUCUAUAUCCUCUCCAAAUGGCUGUGUAGUUUUCAGAAAACUUGCUGACCACAUGAGCAAAGUUGCCAACCCGUUUGUCCGCAACACAGCUAGUAUUGGAGGAAACAUAAUUUUGGCACAAAAAUACCCAUUUCCCUCAGACAUUGCAACCAUACUUCUCGGUGCUGGCGCAACUGUUUGUCUUCAGGUUGUUACAGAACGAAGGCAAAUUACUUUGGAAGAGUUCCUAGAGCAGCCUCCUUUGGAUCCUACUACUUUACUCCUGAGCAUAUUUAUUCCACAUUGGAUUUCAGAUUAUCAAGCAGAAACAAGCUUGUUAUUUGAAACUUACCGAGCAGCACCUCGUCCUCUUGGCAAUGCUGUUUCAUAUGUAAAUUGUGCAUUCUUGGGGCUUUCUUCUGUGGAUGAACAAUCAGAUACUCUUGUAUUGAGUAAUCUGCGCUUGGCUUUUGGUGCAUAUGGGACAGAACAUGCUAUAAGAGCCAAGAUGGUGGAGAAAUUCCUAACUGGUAAAUCACUUACUGCAUUGGUUGUACUAGGAGCAGUUCGGUUACUUAGAGAAACGAUUGUACCAAUGGAGGGAACAUCACAUCCUGAAUAUAGAGUCAGUGCAGCUGUUGGGUUCCUCUUUAGUUUCCUAUCUCCGCUUGCCAAAGGCAUCCCAGAGCCUGGAAAAGCUCUGACCAGUGGCUGGUCUGAUUCAGCAGAUACAGAUGAUGUACGUAACCUGCCGUUGUCAUCACGUCGAGAAACAAUUUCCAACGGCGAUUAUAAACCGGUUGGUGAGCCAAUUAAGAAGUAUGCCGUUGAACUUCAAGCUUCUGGGGAGGCAGUUUAUGUGGAUGAUAUUCCUGCUCCAAAGAAUUGCCUCUAUGGGGAAUUUAUUUACAGCACACAACCUCUUGCUUAUGUCAAGAAUAUUAAGUUCAAAUCUUCUUUAGCAUCAACUAAGAUCAUCAAUGUUGUUACUGCGAAGGAUAUUCCACGUGGAGGAGAAAAUAUUGGAUCUUCCUUCGUGUUUGGGGAUGAGCCAUUGUUUGGGGAUCCAAUUGCUGAGUAUGCUGGACAAGCUCUAGGCAUUGUGAUUGCAGAAACACAGAGGUAUGCUGACAUGGCAGCUAAGCAGGUUAUUAUUGAAUAUGACACAAAAGAUUUGAGUCCACCGGUCUUAACUGUGGAACAAGCUGUGGAAAACAGUAGCUACUUCAGUAUUCCCCAAGAAUAUUCUCCUAAAGAAGUUGGUGAUUUCUCGAGGGGCAUGGCAGAAGCUGAUCACAAGAUCCCAGCAGCAGAAGUAAAACUGGCCUCUGAGUACUACUUCUACAUGGAAACACAAACAGCACUUGCAAUUCCAGAUGAGGAUAAUACCUUGGUAGUCUACAGUUCGUCGCAGUAUCCUGAGUUUGCGCAACGUGUCAUAGCAAGGUGCCUGGGCAUUCCAUUCAGUAAUGUGCGUGUCAUUACAAGAAGGGUUGGAGGAGGCUUUGGAGGAAAGGCAUUCAGAUCAUUCCAAGUCGCAACGGCAGCUGCACUUUGUGCAUACAAGCUACGACGUCCUGUCCGAAUGUACCUUAAUCGCAACACUGAUAUGGUAAUGGUUGGUGGUAGGCACCCAGUGAAAGCUUGUUAUUCUGUUGGAUUCAAAUCUGAUGGGAAAAUUACAGCCUUGCAUCUAGAUUUAUUAAUUAACGCUGGGAUAUCUCCAGAUGCAAGCCCCAUUAUACCAGGCACUAUUAUAUCUAGUGUCAAGAAAUACAACUGGGGUGCUCUGUCAUUUGACAUCAAACUCUGCAAAACAAAUAAUACAUCUAAAUCUGUUAUGCGUGCUCCGGGAGACACACAAGGCUCUCUAAUUGCUGAUGCUAUAAUUGAACAUGUCGCGUCCGUGCUUUCAGUUGAUGCUAACAGCGUGAGGGAAAAGAAUUUUCACACCUAUGAUACUCUUCAGCUGUUCUACCCAGACAAUGCAGGCGAAGCUUCUGAGUACACAUUACAUUCAAUUUUUGAUAGAUUGGCAUCAACUUCAAGCUACCUUGAUCGAGCUGAAUCCAUAAAGCAGUUUAACAGUAGCAACAAGUGGUGGAAACGCGGCAUCUCUUGUGUGCCCCUCAUUUUCAGAGCUGAACAGAAGCCAGCUCCAGCACGGGUUUCUGUGCUCAAUGAUGGCUCCAUAGUGGUGGAGGUUGGAGGAAUCGAAAUCGGGCAAGGACUGUGGACUAAAGUACAACAGAUGACGGCCUUUGCUCUAGGACAAUUGUGGGAAAAUGGGUAUGAAGAUCUUCUUGAGAGAGUGCGUGUUAUACAGGCUGACACUUUGAACUUAAUACAAGGUGGACUUACUGCUGGUAGCACUGGAUCUGAAGCUAGUUGCGCCGCAACCCUGCAGGCGUGCAAUAUGCUGAUUGGCAGAUUAAAGCCAGUCUUGGAUAGGCUGCAGCAGCAAUCUGAAAAUGUCUCAUGGGAUACUUUGAUUUCUCAGGCUUCCAAAGAAAAUGUUUAUUUAUCUGCGAGUGCAUACUGGGUACCUGAUCAAGAUUCUUACAGGUACCUGAACUAUGGAGCUGGUAUAAGUGAGGUGGUAUUCUUUCUGUUCAUUCUGAAAAAGUGCAGGUGGAGAUUGAUCUUCUUACAGGAGCAAUUACUAUAUUAAGGGGUGAUCUUGUGUAUGACUGUGGAAAGAGCAUGAACCCUGCUGUGGACUUAGGCCAGAUUGAAGGUUCCUUUAUACAGGGAAUUGGCUUCUUCGUAUAUGAAGAAUAUGUUACGAACAGUGAUGGCUUGAUGAUUAGCAACAGCACAUGGGACUACAAGAUCCCAAGCGUCGACAUAAUCCCAAAGCAGUUUAAUGCUGAGGUUCUGAACACUGGAUACCAUAAGAAUCGCGUGCUUUCUUCAAAAGCUUGUGGUGAACCUGCUUUGAUUGCUGCCUCAUCCGUUCAUUGUGCACUGAGAGAAGCUAUUAGAGCAGCAAGAAAGGAGUUUGCAAACAGCACUGGAUCUGGAAGCUCACCUCUGGAAUUCCAGAUGGAUGUCCCUGCGCCAAUGACACUGGUGAAAGAACUAUGUGGUUUUGACAUCGUGGAGAAGUACUUAGAAAGUGUAUCUGCCUGUGAACGUGCAGCUGGGGCGUAAUCUACGCUCCUGUUAUUACACGUAUAAAGGAGUCGUCUCUUCCUAUCUUAUGUUACAAUGAAGAGGGGGUGGUCAAGUCUUUCAAAAAAAAAAAGAAGAGGGGUGGUCAAAUUGGCACGAAUAUUCGAAUGCUUUGAACAAUGUACAAGGUUGUCCGCCUGUGCCUCCAUACUAUCUGGAAUUCAAACACCUAUUUUCGUGUGUCCUUAUUAAAGCUACAGGAAGUGGUUGCAUUUAUAUUUAUGUAAUUUAAUUGUUUUGAAGUUCGAGUGCUGAUA